RNAcentral lists this ribosomal RNA (2923 nucleotides) under Staphylococcus aureus. RNAcentral describes it as "23S ribosomal RNA". It matches the Rfam family "Bacterial large subunit ribosomal RNA". The record is from RNAcentral. Lineage: Bacteria; Bacillati; Bacillota; Bacilli; Caryophanales; Staphylococcaceae.
GAUUAAGUUAUUAAGGGCGCACGGUGGAUGCCUUGGCACUAGAAGCCGAUGAAGGACGUUACUAACGACGAUAUGCUUUGGGGAGCUGUAAGUAAGCUUUGAUCCAGAGAUUUCCGAAUGGGGAAACCCAGCAUGAGUUAUGUCAUGUUAUCGAUAUGUGAAUACAUAGCAUAUCAGAAGGCACACCCGGAGAACUGAAACAUCUUAGUACCCGGAGGAAGAGAAAGAAAAUUCGAUUCCCUUAGUAGCGGCGAGCGAAACGGGAAGAGCCCAAACCAACAAGCUUGCUUGUUGGGGUUGUAGGACACUCUAUACGGAGUUACAAAGGACGACAUUAGACGAAUCAUCUGGAAAGAUGAAUCAAAGAAGGUAAUAAUCCUGUAGUCGAAAAUGUUGUCUCUCUUGAGUGGAUCCUGAGUACGACGGAGCACGUGAAAUUCCGUCGGAAUCUGGGAGGACCAUCUCCUAAGGCUAAAUACUCUCUAGUGACCGAUAGUGAACCAGUACCGUGAGGGAAAGGUGAAAAGCACCCCGGAAGGGGAGUGAAAUAGAACCUGAAACCGUGUGCUUACAAGUAGUCAGAGCCCGUUAAUGGGUGAUGGCGUGCCUUUUGUAGAAUGAACCGGCGAGUUACGAUUUGAUGCAAGGUUAAGCAGUAAAUGUGGAGCCGUAGCGAAAGCGAGUCUGAAUAGGGCGUUUAGUAUUUGGUCGUAGACCCGAAACCAGGUGAUCUACCCUUGGUCAGGUUGAAGUUCAGGUAACACUGAAUGGAGGACCGAACCGACUUACGUUGAAAAGUGAGCGGAUGAACUGAGGGUAGCGGAGAAAUUCCAAUCGAACCUGGAGAUAGCUGGUUCUCUCCGAAAUAGCUUUAGGGCUAGCCUCAAGUGAUGAUUAUUGGAGGUAGAGCACUGUUUGGACGAGGGGCCCCUCUCGGGUUACCGAAUUCAGACAAACUCCGAAUGCCAAUUAAUUUAACUUGGGAGUCAGAACAUGGGUGAUAAGGUCCGUGUUCGAAAGGGAAACAGCCCAGACCACCAGCUAAGGUCCCAAAAUAUAUGUUAAGUGGAAAAGGAUGUGGCGUUGCCCAGACAACUAGGAUGUUGGCUUAGAAGCAGCCAUCAUUUAAAGAGUGCGUAAUAGCUCACUAGUCGAGUGACACUGCGCCGAAAAUGUACCGGGGCUAAACAUAUUACCGAAGCUGUGGAUUGUCCUUUGGACAAUGGUAGGAGAGCGUUCUAAGGGCGUUGAAGCAUGAUCGCAAGGACAUGUGGAGCGCUUAGAAGUGAGAAUGCCGGUGUGAGUAGCGAAAGACGGGUGAGAAUCCCGUCCACCGAUUGACUAAGGUUUCCAGAGGAAGGCUCGUCCGCUCUGGGUUAGUCGGGUCCUAAGCUGAGGCCGACAGGCGUAGGCGAUGGAUAACAGGUUGAUAUUCCUGUACCACCUAUAAUCGUUUUAAUCGAUGGGGGGGACGCAGUAGGAUAGGCGAAGCGUGCGAUUGGAUUGCACGUCUAAGCAGUAAGGCUGAGUAUUAGGCAAAUCCGGUACUCGUUAAGGCUGAGCUGUGAUGGGGAGAAGACAUUGUGUCUUCGAGUCGUUGAUUUCACACUGCCAAGAAAAGCCUCUAGAUAGAAAAUAGGUGCCCGUACCGCAAACCGACACAGGUAGUCAAGAUGAGAAUUCUAAGGUGAGCGAGCGAACUCUCGUUAAGGAACUCGGCAAAAUGACCCCGUAACUUCGGGAGAAGGGGUGCUCUUUAGGGUUAACGCCCAGAAGAGCCGCAGUGAAUAGGCCCAAGCGACUGUUUAUCAAAAACACAGGUCUCUGCUAAACCGUAAGGUGAUGUAUAGGGGCUGACGCCUGCCCGGUGCUGGAAGGUUAAGAGGAGUGGUUAGCUUCUGCGAAGCUACGAAUCGAAGCCCCAGUAAACGGCGGCCGUAACUAUAACGGUCCUAAGGUAGCGAAAUUCCUUGUCGGGUAAGUUCCGACCCGCACGAAAGGCGUAACGAUUUGGGCACUGUCUCAACGAGAGACUCGGUGAAAUCAUAGUACCUGUGAAGAUGCAGGUUACCCGCGACAGGACGGAAAGACCCCGUGGAGCUUUACUGUAGCCUGAUAUUGAAAUUCGGCACAGCUUGUACAGGAUAGGUAGGAGCCUUUGAAACGUGAGCGCUAGCUUACGUGGAGGCGCUGGUGGGAUACUACCCUAGCUGUGUUGGCUUUCUAACCCGCACCACUUAUCGUGGUGGGAGACAGUGUCAGGCGGGCAGUUUGACUGGGGCGGUCGCCUCCUAAAAGGUAACGGAGGCGCUCAAAGGUUCCCUCAGAAUGGUUGGAAAUCAUUCAUAGAGUGUAAAGGCAUAAGGGAGCUUGACUGCGAGACCUACAAGUCGAGCAGGGUCGAAAGACGGACUUAGUGAUCCGGUGGUUCCGCAUGGAAGGGCCAUCGCUCAACGGAUAAAAGCUACCCCGGGGAUAACAGGCUUAUCUCCCCCAAGAGUUCACAUCGACGGGGAGGUUUGGCACCUCGAUGUCGGCUCAUCGCAUCCUGGGGCUGUAGUCGGUCCCAAGGGUUGGGCUGUUCGCCCAUUAAAGCGGUACGCGAGCUGGGUUCAGAACGUCGUGAGACAGUUCGGUCCCUAUCCGUCGUGGGCGUAGGAAAUUUGAGAGGAGCUGUCCUUAGUACGAGAGGACCGGGAUGGACAUACCUCUGGUGUACCAGUUGUCGUGCCAACGGCAUAGCUGGGUAGCUAUGUGUGGACGGGAUAAGUGCUGAAAGCAUCUAAGCAUGAAGCCCCCUCAAGAUGAGAUUUCCCAACUUCGGUUAUAAGAUCCCUCAAAGAUGAUGAGGUUAAUAGGUUCGAGGUGGAAGCAUGGUGACAUGUGGAGCUGACGAAUACUAAUCGAUCGAAGACUUAAUCAA